Molecule: long non-coding RNA, 422 nt
Organism: Salvia hispanica
Lineage: Eukaryota; Viridiplantae; Streptophyta; Magnoliopsida; Lamiales; Lamiaceae
Source: RefSeq, a predicted model, not a curated record
UUCUACAGCACAUCUUGGCCUCUCUGUUUUUCUCCAAUAAACAAGGAACCACCUUCCCAAUUUUAGAGAUACUCUCAAGAAAAAUUGAAGAAAUAAAUGUAUAUAUGUCAACAAUUGUAGAAGAUAUAAUCGAGAUCUGAUUGGGGUGUUACAAAUCCUCUUAUGAUCGUCAACUUUAAAAGGAAGAAGUAAAGCGCAAGAGUGAAGAGAAAUAGAGAGAGAUACAUUAACUAGCGUCUAUUAGGAGAGAUAACAAAUGAGCGUAUCCUUAUUCUCGGAUUCCUUGUGGCUCCGAGUGUGGGAAAUAAGUGUGGUAGUUUCAUGGAUAUCCUUGUGUCCAUCGGUGUAUAUCAUUGGCCCAACAAAUUGUCAUUUAACAUUUAUUCAAUUUCGUAAGUUUUAAAAUGGUAUAUAAAAUUAUA